AGAGUUUGAUCCUGGCUCAGGAUGAACGCUGGCGGCGUGCCUAAUACAUGCAAGUCGAACGCUUUGUGGUCCAACUGAUUUGAAGAGCUUGCUCAGAUAUGACGAUGGACAUUGCAAAGAGUGGCGAACGGGUGAGUAACACGUGGGAAACCUACCUCUUAGCAGGGGAUAACACUUGGAAACAAGUGCUAAUACCGUAUAACACUAAUAACCGCAUGGUUAUUAGUUAAAAGAUGGUCUUGCUAUCACUAAGAGAUGGUCCCGCGGUGUAUUAGCUAGUUGGUAAGGUAAUGGCUUACCAAGGCAAUGAUACAUAGCCGAGUUGAGAGACUGAUCGGCCACAAUGGGACUGAGACACGGCCCAUACUCCUACGGGAGGCAGCAGUAGGGAAUCUUCCACAAUGGACGAAAGUCUGAUGGAGCAACGCCGCGUGUGUGAUGAAGGGUUUCGGCUCGUAAAACACUGUUGUAAGAGAAGAAUGACACUGAGAGUAACUGUUCAGUGUGUGACGGUAUCUUACCAGAAAGGAACGGCUAAAUACGUGCCAGCAGCCGCGGUAAUACGUAUGUUCCAAGCGUUAUCCGGAUUUAUUGGGCGUAAAGCGAGCGCAGACGGUUAUUUAAGUCCGAAGUGAAAGCCCACAGCUUAACUGUGGAAGUGCUUUGGAAACUGGAUAACUUGAGUGCAGUAGAGGGAGAGUGGAACUCCAUGUGUAGCGGUGAAAUGCGUAGAUAUAUGGGAAGAACACCAGUGGCGGAUGCGGCUCUCUGGACUGUAACUGACGUUGAGCUCGAAAGUGUGGUAGCAAACAGGAUUAGAUACCCUAGUAGUCCACAUCGUAAACGAUGAGUUGCUAGAUGUUUGAGGGAUUCCGCCCUUAGGUGAUCGCAGCCUAACGCAGUAAGCACUCC
RNAcentral lists this ribosomal RNA (912 nucleotides) under uncultured bacterium. Its description in RNAcentral is "bacterial SSU rRNA". It matches the Rfam family "Bacterial small subunit ribosomal RNA", at positions 8 to 870 of the family's 1533-position model. The record is from RNAcentral.